AAAGAUUUAAGUUAAGCUAAACUGAUAGCCUUCAAAGUUAUAAAUAGGGUAAACUCUCUAAUCUUUA
Molecule: transfer RNA, 67 nt
Filed under: Cucujoidea sp. 41 KM-2017
Lineage: Eukaryota; Metazoa; Arthropoda; Insecta; Coleoptera
Description: tRNA-Trp
Rfam family: tRNA
About the family: Transfer RNA (tRNA) molecules are approximately 80 nucleotides in length. Their secondary structure includes four short double-helical elements and three loops (D, anti-codon, and T loops). Further hydrogen bonds mediate the characteristic L-shaped molecular structure. tRNAs have two regions of fundamental functional importance: the anti-codon, which is responsible for specific mRNA codon recognition, and the 3' end, to which the tRNAs corresponding amino acid is attached (by aminoacyl-tRNA synthetases). tRNAs cope with the degeneracy of the genetic code in two manners: having more than one tRNA (with a specific anti-codon) for a particular amino acid; and 'wobble' base-pairing, i.e. permitting non-standard base-pairing at the 3rd anti-codon position.
Source: RNAcentral